RNAcentral lists this microRNA (24 nucleotides) under Capitella teleta. RNAcentral's name for it is "Cte-Mir-67_5p* (star (passenger))". Lineage: Eukaryota; Metazoa; Annelida; Polychaeta; Capitellidae. The record is from RNAcentral.
ACCUCAUUCAGUGGUGUUGCGAUG